AACUCUACCAAAACCGUAGAUCUAAAAAAUUCGUUGUCGGCAGGACUUUUGCUCUAGCUUAAGGCUGGUGGCAGCCUUUCUCCUCCUUCCCCUCACCUUCCUCUUUCUUGUUCUUAUGGAUUGCUCAAAUUUGUUUCAUUUCAAUAUUUUGUCAACAAGUACCUCCCUAGUGAGGUUAUUUCGGAGUCUCCUGGUGAGUAUCUUAGUUUUAAGUUGGUGUGUUCUCGGCUCCUCUUGGGUUUACUCCCUAUUUUUGGUAGCUUCACUAAUAGUGUUGUGCAUAAAAUUCAUGCUAGUAUGGACACUAGUUGGUUUGUUGUCAACUCCUCUUCGAAGUUGACGCUGCUUGCUGUCAAAGAGUGUACUUCUGCUUGGUAUUUUGCAGUUUGGGCUAAGCCACACAAACACACUGUCAUAUUAAUCAAAUACUGAACUAAGUGCACAAGCAUAUUUUUUCUAUAACAUGCCAUUGUCAGUAAAAUAAAAAAGACAUACCGCUAAAUUGUGUGCUAUUCCUAAGCUUGAUAAAUUUUAGACCUAAGUAUUGUACAACAUCCGAGUAUUAGGGACGUUUCAAGUUUCUUUUGAAGUACUCUUCACAUGAUUCUUUCUAUGAACAAUUUACUAAUUAUUUAAUUUGGAAAUAGAUUGAAAAUCAUGGAAAGAAACGGUGGAAAUUAAAAGGUUGAAGUGAAGCUGGAAGACCAUGUUAUAACUCCAAUCUUCCCUUCCAACUUGUCGAAUGAAUCAUAUGACGAGUAUUUUGAUGACUAGAUCUCAAGCAUAGCAACAAAAAGAAUCCCACAAGACCAACCACGGUGGGAAAUUCAUGUUAUAAAGUACCCCCCAAUAGCAGUGCAGCUUGUACUGUGAUAUUCAAGUUUGCACCGUGCAUUAGGUGAUGACUACUCUCUCGUGGGCGAGUUUAUCUCCUGUCUACAAAGGGAUAUCAAUCCUUCUUUUUGCCUAACAUUUCCCUCACGACUGCCAUCGGAGCCUGAGGUUGGCAAUAUAAGAAUGUUGACCUCAAGUUUGACAGGUUAUGCUAGAGGGUAUGUGUUGAAAUAUUAUAUAGGAGACAUGGGAAGGGACAUGGAAUUGGGAACCAAGCUUUUUUCGUUCUAGAAGCAGGAUAAGAAAUAUGAUUGGAGAAGAAUUUUUCAACUUCUUUCUAAAUUUUAGUUAAAAGCACAUAUGGGGAGUUCAUUAAAGAUGCUCUAAUAUUGUUGGCAAAGUUUUUACAAACUAUUUAUGUAGAGAAAUGCUAAGAUACUCUCAAAAGUAGAACUUGCUAUGGAUUCUCUCUCACAUCAUGUUUUUAACAUAAUAUUUUAUGUUGUUGACACGAAAAUAGACGUAAAACUAUGAGAUGUCAAAGUUCAUGAAGAGUUUUACUUUGAAGGUCCAUGAAAGUCCCAUAUUGACGUAAAAUUGACGUAAGAUUGACUUAAACCUGUAUUAGUGAUACAGCUCCCCUUAAACAAAAAGUUUCAACGGUAUUAAUUAACACUGACAAGGAAACAAAAUUAUAUACCUGUUAUAUUAUACAAUAUCUCUUCGCAUAAUCGCGAAUUCAAUGUGUUGUUUUAUGAUGAAGUUUGAUUAAUGGUAGAAGAGCAAUGGAGGGGGGACUGUGCAGAAUAACCGAAAGACUUGGGACUUUUAAGUCCUUCCAUUAAGAACGAUGAUUGUAUGUAAGUCAAGAAGAAUCCAUUAGGGUUGUUACGGACACUCUGUUAUCACUUUUGUUUUUGUAUAUUACCUCAUUUGUUAGGAAAGUGAACUGGUUUUGUUCGGGCAAAGAUUUCUCUGGCAAAGAUCUCUGGACCUCAGCACAGCUCUCCAAGGGAUUGACACUUUGGAUGUGUGUGUUUGGUAGUUGAGCUCUUACUUGUCUUGUGUGCUGCAAUAAGAGCUUGAAGUUAGUUCUGAAAUGUGCCUUCGUGGGGAUACGCCUUAAGGCUCGCAAUCAAAACUAACUAAAUGCUUAGGCUUGCCACUGCUAUUUCAGCAUAGUAGAUAUAGAACAAAUAUGUUAUGAGUCGAUUACUUACGCCCCAUGUUACUCAAACUUCUUGUUAUCAAAAGAUUGUCACAGAUAAGUUAAGUCUAUAUUAAGUUCUUUUCUUGCGUUGUAAACAAGGACUUUUAGUUCAUGGUCUCGUAUGUUCGAAUGGAAGGAGUCCAGAGCCCUUGUAAGUCAUUUGUUUGGUUCCAAAUUGCUCUUUAAUGAAAACAUAUCCAUUAAGUUAACCAGAUCCAGAUGCAAAUGAGACUCUUAAAAUAGAAAAACAUGUGGAAAUGACUUGAAUACAUGCUGAAAAGUGUAUUAAACGAUAGAUCUACUAAUUUAAAGGACAAACAAAGAGACUCGGGCAAGAUUUCACCUUGUCUGGUAAGGUUGAACCUCUUGCAGCCACUUCUCUUUGGUUUUACAAAGGUUGUAUGCUAAAAAUGGAUGGUUGUUAAACAGGUUUACAUGAGAGAGUCAAUACUACAACAUUGAAAAUGGUAGCAGAGCUUUUAUACUAGAGAAAAGAUAGUCUUUCUAAGGAAACUAUAGCUAAAAUGACUGAAUCUGAGUUGAUUUCAGCUUGAAGGGUACAAACUGGCUUGAGAGUAGAGUUUGUAAGUUUGUUUGUUUGAUUAGUUGAGUGUCCUUAUCUCUGUUGUCUCUUCUUCCUUUUAUAGGCGAUCUGGCCAGAGAGUAAGGGCAUUGAUCUUGCCCAAAAGCUCUUGGAGGGUAGUGAGUCAUCAACUUUUUACUUGUAAUGCCAUUGAAAAGUGUUUUUUGGCUGAUAGUAGGUUAUUCUCCAUCACUUGUUACUUCAGUUAUAGACACGUGUCUUAUGUCUUGGCUGAGAAGGUUUUAGUUUGCUUCUGGACUCGAUGUUGGGCUUCAGGCAAGUCAUCCUUUAAUUUGACAUCCUUGAGAUUCCCUUUAUCCAAGCCCAAUAUUCAAAUAUUAACCCAAACAAAUUUUUUAUUUGAAACAAUCAUAGGAAGAAAAGUUUAGCAUGAGAAAAUCAACUGAAGAAACGAAGAAUAAAAAUAGUUAUUAAAUGGGUGGUGGGAUCUUCAGUUGAUAUUUUGAAGAUUCGUGAGGGGUUUAUAGACAUGUCAACAUACUUUCGUUUACAGAUGUCAAUGAGAAAUUGGAGGAGUGUCAACUAAGAAUGGCAAAGUACUUAUGGGUAUGGAUAACCGCGGUUAUCCAUUCAUAUAAAAUUCACGAUUACGGUUAUGUGAAUAACCGUUUACCCGUGAAAUUUAGAAGGUAGUUAUGGGUAUUACCCCUGGUUAUAAACAUGAAUUCAUUUAACUAUUUAUUUUAAUGUAUGUAAAAUAAAUAAAACUAAAAAUCCUUAAAUUGUUCGAUGGACUCCCGCCGCUCAUCUCUCUCCUUGCUGUCAUCUCUUUCAUCUCCACUUCUCUCUUGUCUCCGGAGCGGCACCUGAACCUGCAUCCACGGCGGAGUUUCACAACGAAGCAUUUGUCUAUGUGGCACAUGUGAAUAAUUCCCAAACACUACGACAAUACGUGGUGUGAAAAAGGCUAUAACCUAUUGUCGUUUUUUCUCAUGGGGCAAAAGUCCAUACUGGAAAGGAAUCUGUAAUUCUGUAUGGCCAAUAUAUCCCAUUUUUAACUUUUACUGCUAAAUUAUUCUAAGGGAACAGCAACACCGAUCCUAUUACCUGUCUCUCUGUAAGACUUGCAGUGCCAUCUAGUUGGAAUUUGAUCAAAAUUCAAUAGAGAAAUAACAAAAUAAAUGAAAGCAAAUCUGAAUCCCAAAAGAAAUGGUACAGUGAGUCGGCUACAUACAUAACAAUGCAUGAAUGAUCAUGCUUAGCUAAUGGACGGCUAACUUUAACACUACUUUUUUUUUUUUUUUUUUUAACAAACGAUAUUAUCUACACUAAGAAGAAGAAGUAAGCUUAGCCUCACAAUAGACUAACAAUAAUAUGAUACAAUUUUACAUUUGGCGAGAUUCGAAAUUAAGAGCUCUCACUUACCCUACUUUAAUUUUUAAAUAUAUAGUUAAUCUCUCAUGCAUACAAUGCAUUAACGAUCACACAUCGUUCAUGAAUGACUAACCUUAAAACAAUGAAUGAUUGAACUUUAUCAAUGUUGUAACGGGUAAAUGGAUAAAUGGGUAAAAGAAGGGUAAAUGAUAGAAAACUGUAAACGGGUAAAUGGGUAAACGGAUGUACUAUUACGGUUAAAUGAGUAUGCAAUUAUGGGUACUGUUAACCGUUUAUAAACUGUUAUGGGUAUGAUUAUAACCGUUUAUGCAAUUACCCAAUGGGUAAACGGUUAUGUCAGGUAAAGAAUUAAAUGGUUAUGGUUAAAUAACUGCAAUUACUCUCCCGCCAUAACUGUUGCCAUCCUUAGUGUCAAUUCAGCUUUAGUUGUUAAAAUAGUGCCUCUUAAAAAUAUCUUCAAAGGAGAUAGAAAAUGGCAGCAAACUCUCUCCAACCAAGCAUUCAAUUUCCUAUGUGGCGCUGAGUCAAUUGAAGGCAAAGUAUUUUGUUGUCAAAUUUGACAGCAGAUAUCUAAUUUAUUAAAUAAUUUUUUUAAUAGAUCAAUAUAAUAUAUAAUCAAUGCUGUUUCUUUUUUCAAGUAUUUGAUUGGUUGCCUCAUUCAUGGGAGCCAACAAAAAUAGAAAAAAAAAUUAUUAAAUGGCAUUGUUAUUUAACAUAUCGGGUGAAGCAAAGUAUUGUACAAAAUGUCGGAUUGCCACAUAAGCCAUCAAAUAUCAUUUUAAUGUUUAAAAUUUGACACCUCCUUUGAAGAUGCUUUAAGUUGUUAGAAAAGUUGUUAAGAGGGUUGUUAGUAGUUAUUUAGCUGAAGAGCAUCUCCGAAAAUCUCUAAGUUUUUGUUAAACUAACAAGUAACCAAUGUCAAAAAAUUUAUUUUACUUCCCGUUUAACUUUUUAUCUCCAAUAACAUUCCCUAUUUUAAUAAGUUUUGAAUAUUUUAUUAUUAACAAUUCAAAUCCAACCUACUCAUUUUCUAAAACAAUAUUCUCUCUUUCUGUUUUCUCAAAGAAGGAUCCACACUUGAGAUUUAUUAUUUUUUCAAUAUUUAUGUGAUGAACAGUUGCUCAAUAAAUUUAAAGAGUGACUAUUCAUUUUGUUAUGUUAAAGACUCUUUUGUAGAGUUUGUUGGAAAAUUUUAUUUUUAUUUUUAAGUUUGGCUUUUAAUAAAGGGUUUUAGUUGUUUACAACAUCUCUUGGGGACGCUCUAAGCAAUGGCGGAUCUAUAGAGGGGCCUGGGAGGUCCCAGGACCCCUCGGCGAUCCUAAAUUGUUGCUAGAAAUUUUUCGAGGACCCCUCAUACUCGAACACGAGGUUUGUGCAGGUUGUAGUUGCAUCUUCCUUGAGAAGAAGACGACCACACAUGAGAAGAAAGAAAAUAGGGACCCCCUUUAACACUUGGCCCAAAGCAACAGUGUUUUGGCAAUUGUUUUAAUUAAAAAAAUUAAAAAAUUAAAACAGUGGGCAAAAUGAUGUCGUUUGUCCAUAUUGUUUUAAAUCCUAGGCCACAUCUUUCUCCACAGUCCCACUUUUCCCCACUUAUCUGCUUCUCCCAAUGUCCCAGCUUUCACAUAUUCACCCAAAUUCCAAUCCCCAACUCCCCGAUUUCAAAACCCUAAAAUUCUAACCCCACCCAAUCCCAUAUUAUAAUUUUAUUACUCUAAUAUCAUACCUCCACUUGUUUCAAAUCUCCAUGCCGCCACUAUUUGGCUCAAAAUUCAAGUAAGUUUUUUGGUAUUCUAAUCUAAUCUCAAUUAAAUUAUAUUAGAUAUUGAUGGAGAUUUUUAGUCUAUUGUUGAUAUGUUUUAUGUUUGUAUACUCAUUUGAUCAUUGGAAUAAAUGGAAUUUUUGUUUAUUGAUUAAUUGGUAGAUGUUUUGUGUUGUUUGUUAAAUGUGUAGUUUAGAAAUAAGAAACAUGGAAAGAAUUUUCAAGCCAAAGCCAAUAGCACCUUCUAUUUGUUCGGGUACUCCGAGCUCAAAACAAAAUGAGUGUGACAUUGAUUUUAAUAAUCUUGAGAGAGACUCGGGAAAAAGAAUUCGAAUGAAGGACUAUCCUCCUAAUAUUCAAGAUGAGGUUCGAAUAGCAUAUAUGCCAAUGGGACCUUGUAGGCCUACAAUGCAUGAGUUUCCAUACACUUUGCAUGCAAAGAAAAAGUGACGAUUUGUUGUUUCGUGGUUUGAAGAAUAUGAUUGGUUGAAGUAUAGUAUAUCUAAAGAUGCGGCAUUUUGUCUUCAUUGCCAUCUCUUUAAAAUCAACUUUUCACAAUUAGAAAGUGAUGCCUUCACUGAGGUAGGCUUUAAGAAAUGGAAGAAUGCAAGAGAACGUUUUGACAAAAAUGUUGGUCCUAUUGGUAGUGUCCAUAAUAAAGCUAGAGAAGCAGCUAGUUAUCUAAUGAAUCAACACAUAUUGAAGCAGCUGUGAUCAAAUAGUCAAAAGAAGAGUAUGAAAUAUCGUCUUUGCUUGAAUGCAAUAAUAGAUUGCACUAAGUUUUCGUUGUGACAAGGCCUUCCUUUUCGUGGCCACGAUGAAAGUGACACUUCGAAUAAUAGGGGGAAUUAUUUAGAGCUCUUGCAAUUCCUUGCAGAUCAUGAUGAGAAAAUAAAGGAAGUUGUGUUGGAAAAUGCUCCGGAAAGUCUCAACCUAAUAUAGCUCAUUCAAUUCAAAAAGAUAUUGUCAAUUCAUGUGCCUUCAAAACCAUUAAGGCUAUUAUGAAGGAAGUGGAAGAGAGUAAAUUAUUUUCUAUAAUGGUAGAUGAAUCACGUGAUGUUUCAACAAAGGAGCAAAUGGCAGGAGUUUUGCGUUAUAUGGACAACAAAGGUCAAGUAAUUGAAAGGUUCGUGGGGGUCCAACAUGUUACCGAAACAACUUUAAGUAAACUAAAGGAGUCCAUUGAUGAAUUCUUGAAACUACAUGAUUUGAGUUACUCUAACCUACGAGGUCAAGGUUAUGAUGACGCGAGUAAUAUGAGAGGUGAGUUCAAUGGCCUUUAAAAAAAAAAUUGGGUGAAGAAAGUUGUGCAUUCUAUGUUCAUUGUUUUGCUCAUCAACUACAAUUAGCUCUUGUUGCUGUAGCGAAGAAAAACUCUGAUGUUGCCGCUUUUCUUUUUACUAAUAGUUUGGUGAAUGUUGUUGGAUGCUCAUGUAAGUGUUGUGAUGCACUUAGAGAGAAACAACAAGAAAAUCUCAUGAAAGCUAUUGAAAAUUAUUGUCUUGAAAUGGGGGCAAUGAUUAAAUCAAGAAACUAGUCUCCAAUGUGUUAGGGAUACACAAUGGAAUUCACAUUAUGGUGCUUUGAUUCGUUUGAUUACAAUGUUCUCAUCUGUGGUGGAUGUGCUUGACAUGAUUGUUGAAGAUUGCUACUAUGAUAGUGUUGGUGAAGCAAAAAGGUUAUUAAAAGAUUUACAAUCUUUUGAGUUUGUGUUCCUCAUCUUUUUAUUGAAAUUCAUAUUGGGAGUUAAAAAUGAUUUGGCACAAGCAUUGCAAAAGAAAGAUCAAGGGUUGUGAAUGCAAUGACUUUAGUCAAGACAUGUAAAGAACAACUACGUUGCAUGAGGAAUAAUGAGAAAUUUGAUCUUUUGGUUGAUAAAGUAUCAUCUUUUUGUGUCAAACAUGAAAUUGAGGUACCUAAUACGGAUGGUUCAUAUGUCAUUCAAGGGAAGUCAUUGCGUAAGGCUCCAAAAAAGACCAAUCGUUAUCAUUACAAAGUGGAACUCUUUUUUGAGGUCAUUGAUUUCCAACUUACAGAAUUAGAUGAUCGCUUCGCUGAAGGUAAUAUUGAAUUGCUUAUAUGCUUGGCAUGUGUUGAGCCUGAAUGAUUCAUUUAUAGCGUUUGAUAAAGAAAAGAUUGUUUGCCUUGCUCAGUUGUAUCCUAAAUAUUUCAAGGAUCUAGUUAGAUCAGCACUUCAAGAUCAACUUGAUAUUUAUAUUCAUUUUGUGAGUUCUGAUAAUGAUUUUUCUCAAUUGCAAAAUUAAUGAUCGUGCUAAGAAAAUGGUGGAGAAAGGGUUGCAUCAAACAUUUGCAUAUGUAUAUUUGCUUGUUCAGUUGACUUUGGUUUUACUAGUUGCAACCGCUUCAGUGGAAAAGGCAUUUUCCGCUAUGAAUAUCAUUAAGGUCAACUUCGCAAUAAAAUGGGAGAUCAUUGGUUGAGUGACAGCUUAGUUGUUUACAUUGAGAAAGAUGUUUUUUCAUGUAUGGGUAAUGAAGCUAUCAUGAAACAUUUUCAGACUUGGAAACCUCAACGUGGACACUUUAAUUAGGAUUUUAUAGCUUGUAAUGUUGUUUUUGUAUGAUUUUUGAAUGAAAUGUAUUAUAAUUUCUUUUCAAUGUUAUUUUUGUCUAUAAAUUUUUUGACCUUUAUUAUUGGGACCACCGAGUUUAAAAUCUUAAAUUCGCCACUGACUCUAAGCAAGUUAGUUUAGCUGACACUGUGAAGCCAAAAAUAAUUCAAAACAAUACUAGAGCUAACAUGUAGACUUCUAUUCACAUUUGACAAGAAUGUUGUCAUAAAUUGGCGAGGCCCACAUUUCAUUCCACUGACAGUUUAACCAACAAAGAAGCCUAAGCCUUAGACUAAUAUUUCUCCAAGCUCAUUUGCACAUAACAAGGAGAUAAGGUAAGGGAAUUAAAGCUAGAACUAAUAACUAAUUCCUACCUUUAUGCUUUCCUAAUUGAAAACAUGUUCCUUUAUUCAAAGAAACGCAAUUAAAUCCAAUCAAGGUAUUCUCCAAAUAGAAUUCUUAGAUAUUAUCAUAUAUUUAAUAAUACAUGUAAGGACUUUUCUUAAACAUCUUUAAGAUAUUUCAACAUCUCAAAGAUAUUUUCCUACUGCAUCAAAGGGAUGACACACUUUGGUCAAUUGGACACGGACAUGUGGCAUGGCCUUUCCCACACACCAUGGCCGCCCACUAGCUUCCAUGAAUACCCUAUCACCAAUUCAUUCUCUGUAAAUUGAUCCUAUGCAAUUCAACCCAAAAUCUCUCUCUCUCUCUCUCUCUCUCUCUCUCUCUCUCUCUCUCUCUCUCUCUCUCUCUCUCUCUCUCUCUCUCUCUCUCUCUCUCUCUCUCUCUCUCACACACACACACACACACACAUUGAAACUAUCUUAGGCAUCAAAGGUAAUUGGACAACCCCCCUCCCCCCUAGGCGCAUGGCUUUGGCCGUAACCAAGGGAGUUAAUUUGUUUUGUUGGUAUAAUUUCGUCAAAUCUAAGGGCGGCAGAAUUUUGCAAAAACAAAUUGGUGCUUUCAUUAAGAGCUUGAUUUAAAUCUCAAAAAAACUCUCGCAAUAUUUUUUUUUUCAAAUUUCUACCUCUUUUAAUUUUUCUAAUGCACCCCCAUGUCCGAUUUUUUUUAAUUCUUCGAUUCACGUGCGAUAGGAAAGAAAACAUGGUUGGAAAUUCUGAACCACAACGAAAGGUUCAUAAGCGCCUCGUCCCUGCUCUGUCCCUCCUUGUGAUAGAAAAUGGAGGCUGGGCGAUUGCCUCCUCUCCUGACCCCUGUCACAUCCUCUCAAGCCAAAAUCGUAGCAAGAACGGCAGCGACAACACCAAAGUGCACAUUAAAUCAGGAUAAUUCGGAACUUGCAAAAAGGAGUUAGGCAAGAGUACUAGCAAAAGGAAGAUGUGGUAUUUUGGGUUUAGGAUAAUGAGUUUGAAAGAAUGGUUAUUGUACAUUCAUACAUAUCAUUUACAUAGGAGGCUUGAAUUUUUAUAAUUUCGUGUAGUCUUGGAUCUGUGAUAUUUAGAUGGGAUUAAUAUAUAAGAGUUGGGAACUUAGCUAUAUACUUUCUAUUUUAUUAGAAAGAACACUAUCAAGUCUAUCAAUCAUCACUACAGUUUAGUAGUAUUCCUAUUAUUAUGUCUAGUCCAUUUUAAAGCUUAGCUCAAUCUCCUACCUCAUACUAUAGAUAACAUUCAGGGUGGCCCUGGCUCAGUACCAGCAGGGUGAUUGUCUGAGGCCUUAGAAAAUUGGGGGCACAAAAAAAUUAUUAGGAUAGUGUAUUCAAAUAUGUUUUCAUAAGUGUAUAAAUUGAAACACGUUUGAUUGAGUGAACAAGAAGUACAUAUAGAGGCGCUGGUUUCAUAGUGUACUGAAAAGAAAGAGGUCUUGGGUCUUUGUGCGCCUUGUUUUUGUAUGCCUUGUUCUUUUCAAUUUUUUUACUAUUUUUGUUUAAUUGUUAAAUUCUUUUUACCUUUGAUUUUUUACUAUUUUUUUAUUGUUGAUUUCUUCUUUGCAAUUUUUUACAAAUUUUUGUUUCAUUGUUAAAUUCUUUUUACCUUUGAUUUUUUACUAAUUUUUUUAUUGUUAAUUUCUUUUUACCUUUGAUUUUUUUACUAAUUUUUUUUUAUUGUUUUUUCAAAUUUUUACUAUUUUUGUUUAAUUGUUAAAUUCUUUUUACCUUUGAUUUUUUCAACAAAGUUGACCUCAAGUUUGAUAAGGUUAAGGGGUGGUUUGGGAGUGAGGUGCUUAAAAAAAAAAGAACUUUAACGAAAAACACCCGGUACUGUUCACUUUAACGAAAAACCACAUUUUUACACUAAAAAGUCAAUCCUGGUACUAUUCACUUUACCCUUUAUUUUGUCCUUAUCAUUAAAACUCAAAGUUUUCAAGUCAUUUUCAUUAGUUUUCCUUAAAAAAAAAUACCCAUGAAAAAAAGCUGUGAGGAUUUUAGGUGUUUGGUAAACUGAAAAAAAAAUGGCUUAUUUUGGAAGCUGCUGUGAGAAUAAGCUGAAAUCAAAGGAAAAAGCUGAAGCUGCUAUUUGUAGCUUUAGAAAACUGGUUUUUUUUCAAAGCACACAGAGUUACAGUGCUCCUUUAAUGUAAAGACUCACUAUCAGACUGCUUUUUUUUCCAAAAGCACUUUUACAAAAAAGUUUAUCAAACACUCUGCUGAUUUAUUUCACAGCCGCUUAUUCUCACAGCACAGCCGCUUAUUCUCACAGCAGCUUUUUUUCAAAGCACAGCAAUACCAAACCAGCCUUAAGUUAGAGGAUACUUAUGGAAAUAUUAUCUAGGUGAGAUGAAGAGGGACAUGGAAUUGGGGACACAGACCUGGAGUUAAAUUUAGGAAACUUUAAUGAAAAGCUAUUGGUACUAUUCAUUUUAACAAAAAAAAAUCAUAUUUUUAUACUAAAAAAUCAAUCAUGAUACUAUUUACUUUAUCCUUUAUUUUGUCCUUAUCGUUAAAUCUCAAAGUUUUCAAAUUUUUUUCAUUAAUUUUCUUUUAAAUUUAAGAGCUCGUUAAACCUUUUUUUUUUUUUGAAAAGCGAGCUAGUUCAACUUUUGUCAUUCUAGAAGCAUGACAAGAAGUACAAUUGGAGAUGAAUUUUUCAACUUCUUUCUAAAUUUUAGUUAAAGCACAAAUAGGGAGCCAUCAAAGAUGUUCUAAAUAUUGUUAGCAAAGUUUUUACAAAUUAUAUUUGUAGAGAAAUUCUCUUAAAAAUGAAACUCUUCAUGAGUUUUCUGCCGCCUCAUGUUUUUUGUUCAAUAUUUUAUAGCGUAAUGCUAUGGAGACUAAAUUUCCAAACUAAAUGUAUCACCAAGGGGAAUAAGCACAUUUAUCAACGUUUAAGUAAUAAACCACUAAUCAACUUCCAUAUCUUUUAGUUUUCAAAACUGUAUUUAAAUUUAAUCUUCCUAGCUUUACUUUAUUUUAUAAUGUCGACACAAAAAUUAACAUAAAAUUUUCGGAUAAAAGAGAAUAUAUAAAAAACUCUACUUUAAGAGUCCCACUAUGAUGUAAAAUUGACGUAAACCUGUAUUAGUUAUGCAGCUCCCCUUUUUGUUGAACAACUUUAUACAGCUGCCCUUGAAGUUUGAAUGCUAGUUUCAACUGUAUUAAUUGGCACCGACAAGGAAACUAAUUAUGUAUGGGACCUGUUAUAAAGAAGAAAUUUUACUGUUCAACCGUAUUAACAUUGACAAUAUAAAACGUUUUCUGAGGCCACGGUCUGCUGUCUUCUGAUUGCAUUUAGUUUUGCGUCUCUGUACGAAUUGACAACACAAAACGCGUCGGGUUUUUGGGGCUAAGCCCUGCUGUCUUCUGAUUGCAUUUAUUUUUGUCUCUUUACGAAUUUUUGGACAUUUGACCCUCCAUUCAGUCUAAAAUUAACACUGUUAACUAUUAUAUAUUACUAAUUAUAUAAGUUGAAGAAAAAUAAAAACAACACAAUCAAAUAAACACCGGACAACAACCUACUCCAACCACCCCCAGUCACCUCCGAAGCUCAUCCUCACGCAAAGUUCCUUUUCUUUUUCUAUCUCUCUCCUCGAGAUCCUUCUCUCUUGAAUUCUUGCACUAGAUCGUGAUCCAUUCAUCCAUCUAGUCAAACAACAAAUGUUUUGUGGAGUUGGAAAUUUGAGAAUGGAAGAUAUAGUGAGGAAUUCGAUAGAGAAAGAUCUCGAGGAGAGAGAGAAGGAACUUUGCGGUCGGUGAGGAUGAGCUUCGGCGGUGACUGGGGGUGGUUGGAAUCUUUCUUAAGCGGCAACAACGAACGCAAAUACGCCCAGAUCUUGUUGUUUCAUUUUUGCUGAAACAGUAUCAGUGAAAUGUUUUCUGUCACAAUUAAAAAAAUUAUCGUUGGUGAGGACGAGGAGAGGGAUGAGGAUCACUUGAGACAGUCUUUUGUUUUUCGAUUUUAAUUAACUAAUCAAUUAAUUUUAGUUUUAAUUUUUUUUCCAAAUUAAAAAAGUAACAUUUAACGUGAAAGUUGGUUAAAAUUAGAUGAAAUAACACAUGAUAAAUAAUUAGAUAUGUGCUGAGCAUACUUUAUAAUUAUAUUGCUUUGACAGCAGACCUCUUUGCUGGUCACAUUAUUCUAUAAAUACAUGGCUUCAAGCAAACUGAUGAAAGGUUUAUAAUUUGAAUAGUAUACAUAAACCAACAUGGAGGUUUGGGAAGAGGAACUGGAGCCAGUGAGCCCUAAUGGCCACUAUUUCAACAGCUCUGUUUUAUCGAUAUCUGUUCUUGGUGUUUUGGAAUUUGAAAUUCCAAUUGAGGACUCUCAAACUUUGUCAUUGCUCGAGAAUGUGUUCCUGCCCAUCAACCCACGCUUCUCCUCUAUAAUGGUACUCUCUCUCUCCCUCUCUUUGUUUCCUUCCUUUUACUUGUUAAACAACUUUUCAAAAGCAAAUUUUGUUUGAAUAGUUAGUUGAAGGUAGGAGAAUUAUGUUAAUUUUUGCAUAAACUAUCAAAGUCAGUUGAAUUUAAAAUUUAUUACUUAUACGGGAAUAUAAAUAUCAUUAGAUUUAUAGUGAAAUUCCUCUUAACUAAGUAAAAGAUUUUAGGUUCAAAUACAUUUUCUAUUUUGGGUUUUUGUCACAAAUAAUAUUUGAAAUUGACCAAUCUCAAUAAAAUAAUCAUUGAAAUUGAAAAUCGAUUAUUGUAAUCCUUAAAAAUGAAUAUCGCAAAUCAAUAUAAUUCUUCCAUUAUAAUUUCUUUAAAUUUUUUGUUAAGUAUUGAUUUGACACAUGAAUAAGUUUUAUAAAUCUAUUAAAUACUACCAUGUGAAUCAAAAAAUAUUUAAAUAAAAAAACUUUUAUUUUUACAAAAAAAUAAAAAAGACCGUUCAUCAUCUUCUUUCCUCUCCCACCGGGCAACCACUACAGCCCCGCACCACCCUGUCGACUGCACCUUCGGGUCGAGCGACACCGGAGAGGUUUCAGUUCGGAUUAUCGGCGCCGGAUAGCACGAGAACCGCAAGAACGGGGGUGCGACCGAUUGGACUGUCUGGAGCCGACCGAUACGAUAGCGGAACGAGAGAUGUAGGUUGGGGAGGACAUGUGGUUAAGCUUGGAGUCGAUCAGACGGGGUGAGAGUGGAGGUGGUGGUGGUUUCAUUGAUGGAGGGGAGAGGUUGGGAGCUGAGGAGGAGGAAGAGGAAGGCGUUGGUGGUGAGAGAGUGUGGGUUAGGUGGUCAAUGCUGGGUGGAUGGGUGGGUGUGCGGGUAUAUGCAUAUGGCAAUUGCAUUGUGUAUUUUUACAGGGUUUGGGUUGAUGGCUGUGUCACUGUAGGAGUCGGGGUGUGUGUUCGGUUUUUGGGAAGGGGAAGAAGAUGAUGAACAGUUAUCUUUUUUUUAAUUUUAUUUUAAAGUUUUUAAUUAUAUAACAAAAACUUAUUUAAAUAUUUUCUAAUUCACAUGGUAAAAUUUAAUUAGAUUUAUGAGUCCCAGUUAUGUGCCACAUCAGCAUAUAACAUAUUUUUUGACACAAUUAUGGCAGAAUGACCACAUUUAUUUGUAAUACCAAUUUUCAGGGAUUACGUUGAUUGAUUUUCAAUUUCAAUGAUCAUUUUGAUGAGAGUCAGUUUCUUGAACUACAUUUUUUACUGGUUUCAAAAUUUUCCAGAUGUGAGCAUAAUUUGUUAUAGGGCAAACUACAUUUCAAAUUCUUCCGGCUUGGAGUGAAUUAUGAACAAGGUCAUGAAGUGUGUUUUUUUUUAGGCACCAGAAUGGGAUUUUUUUUUUUAUAUAAUGAAUUCAUACUAAACAAUACAAUUAAAUCGUAGUAUUAAGUGGUUGCCCCAUAAUAUAUUAAAAUUGUAUCACUUGAUGCCUUUGGUCAGUUUGAUUGUUUGAUCUUGUUCGAUAUUCAGAGAGACGAAAUAUUGAUCCAUUCCUAACUUUAUCGUCAAAAGUCUCAAUAAUAUUAGAAGUGGGACCAUACUUAUAUGUUGUAUUUUAUUUUCUCCCAUCGAAUGACAUCCCCUAGCUUGAUAAAGUUCUAGAUCUAAAGCAUUGUACUAGAUCAUUAUGGUUAUAGGGAUGUGAUAUCCACAUACCUCUUUUUACUUCUCUCACACAUUUUUAGUUUUCGACAGUCGGAUCGGAUGAAUUGAAGAAGAUCAACGGACAUAAAUUAACAAGGGUGUGUGAGAAGUAAAAAUAGGUGUGUGGAUAGCAUACUCCUGAUUAUAUUGCAUCAGUAUAGUACGUUGGCUAAAAGUUUUUUGGGACGUUUGAAGUUUCUUUUGAAGUAUUCUUUACAUGAUGUGCACUUUUUCAUGAACAGUAUUUAUUUAAUUUGGAAACAGAUUGAAAACAAUGGAAAGAAACAAUGGAAAAGGGUUGAAGUGAAGCUUGAAGACCAUGUUAAAACUCCAAUUUUCCCUUCCAAUUUGUCGAAUGAAUCUUAUGACGAGUAUUUUGAUGACUAUGUCUCAAGCAUAGCUACUAAAAGAUUUCCACAAGACAAACCACUGUGGGAAGUUCAUGUUAUAAAGUACCCAAAUAGUAAUGCAGCUGGUAAUGUAAUAUUCAAGUUGCACCAUGCAUUAGGUGAUGGCUACUCUCUCAUGGGCGCUCUUCUCUCCUGCCUACAAAGGGCUGACAAUCCUUCUCUUCCACUAACUUUUCCUUCACUGCUGCCAUCAGAAACGAAGAGUGAAAAUAUUAUGACCAAAACUAUCUCAUCCUUGUUGAGCACCGUAUCAGAUUUUUGGUGGGGCAUUUCAAAGAGCUUCAAGGGGGAAGAUGAUCCAUCACCAAUAAAAUCCUCGAAAAAUGGACUUGAGUUCGCGCCAAUUACAAUAUCAACGAUUACGAUCUCCCUUGAUCGAAUCAGAUUAAUUAAGAGCAAGCUCGGAGUGGUAAGUAUCAAGUUUUCUUUGCAAUAUUUUGGUUUAUGCAUGUGUGCAUCUAUUUUUUUCUUUAUAAAAUACGAGAAUAAGCUUUCAUGUUUGACCUUCCUUCUCCUGUUUAAAAUAAAAGUAUAUGUUGUCGCUUCUUUUUAAGCCAUUUGUUCUCGGAACUGAAUAUAUGUUUAGCCAUGCUAACCGUCUGCUUGCAAGUCAAUCUCAAUGCCUUAAUGUAAACCUAAAAAGGUCUGAAAGCCGUAACAAAAACCUACCCCGUGCAUGGUGGGCAUGAUUAUUACUAACCACUAAAAUUUAAAGUACAAAAUACUAAAGAAAGUCUAAAACUGCCUAAUUCUUUUUUUUUUAAAUUUUUUUUUCAAAGUCAAUGUGUCUACUUCAUCCUAAAUUCCUAACUAGUAUAUCUGACCUAUUGAAGCUAAUGAAGAAGCCCUGAAACCAUGAUUUGUUCAACUAUCCAUUAAAAGAACACAUAAUUUAUCCAUAAAUUUCACCAUAAUGGUCUUGAUAUUGUUGAAGCUCAAGGUGAACAGUUAAAUUGGGGACUUUGAGUCCUUAGACUCCCCAUACAUUAUACUUUCAUAUUGAUCUUUUAAUGGCUAGUAACAAAAAUCUCUUACAUAUCAUUGUUUAAAAUAUUGAGACUAACAAAAAAAAUAGAAUGAAAUACACACACAAAACGCAAAUCACCAAACACCAUAUUUUCAAAUUUGUAAAAAAUUGUAACACAGUUAACUUAUUUACUAUCACAGACGAUAAAUGGUGUUCUUACUGGGAUGGUCUUUCUUGGCUCCCGGCUAUAUAUGCAAGAGAUGAACCAAAGCUCAAGGGAAGCGCAUAGCACAGCAUUGGUUUUACUAAAUACAAGGAUCAUGGCGAAUUAUACGUCGAUUGAAGAAAUGGUCAAACCCGAUAGCAAGAGUCCAUGGGGAAACCAUUUUACAUUUGUGCAUGUUCCCAUUCCCAAGUUGACUGAAUUCUCAAAUGUGCUUGACUACGUUUGGAAGACACAUAAAAUAAUCAAGCAGAAAAGAAAUUCUUCAGCUAUUUAUUUCACUAGUGGGCUAUUGAAGAUGCUGAACAAGUUUGGAGGCCCCGAGGUUAGUAAAUAAGGACUCAUUUGGUACACAUGAUUGGAUUGAAAUGGAGAAUUUUCAAAUUUUAAGCUAUAUUGAAGGUGGAUGUUAAUGAUUUUCAUUUGGAAUGAAUUAGAACAGGAUUAGCUAUGAAGAAAAUUCAUUUAUGAAGGUUUAGAAUGAACAAAUUUUCUUCAUGAGUAAUCUAUCUUCAAUUCUCUCAAUGGUCAUAGUUGUAUUAUUUCUUUAUUUUUUAACGUACUUUUAAUUUAAUAUUCGUUCCAUCCAAUCAUGUGCACCAAACAUACGAAAUGCAUGUGAUAUUUCAUAUAUACAACAUUUAUCUAAAAAUUAUAAGGCUACUGGUGCAGGCAGCAUCAAGAUACGUCUGUAGCACAUUAAAGAACUCGAGCGUGGUGGUCACAAGUAUGAUUGGCCCGGUGGAAAAAAUGUCUUUGGCAAACCAACCAAUCAAGGGGUUUUACUUUUUGACAGUUGGGACACCUGAGGUAAACCAGAUAUUACUAGAUGAGUAAUGCUAGAGAGAUUAAAUUUGUUGACAAAGUUUUAAAAAUUAAAAGACAUGAAAGUUGAUGAUUGAUUUAUUACUUAAACAUUGAUAAACAUGCUUAUUCUUUUUUGUGACAUCAUUUAGUUUGCAAAUUUAGUCUCCAAAUUUAAUCUUCCUAGCAUUAUCCUUACUAUAUCAUGCACACACGUACGGUCUCAAAAGUUUUGGAAACAAUAAUAUUCAUCGUCCGUUUCUGUAAUCAGAUACAUAAUAAAUUAAGGUUUGGUUGAUUAACAAGGGCUAUGUGGUGUUUCUGUGAUUGUCUUGUUCGUUUAAGGCUCUUCUAGUAGCAUUUCAGAAAAUGAUAUUCCAAGAACUGUUUUGCAAAAUGAAAACAAUAUAUAAAACUUUGCAUUUUUGAUGAUGAGUUUGCAUCUUCAUUGAGUAAAUGAAUUUAUUGAUUUUUAUCUGUAUAUAUGUGAGGUAUGUUUUCUUAAUGAUAGUAGAGAUAUAUUAUACAUACACACACAUAUAUAUAUAUAUAUAUAUAUAUGUGUGUGUGUGUGUGUGUGUGUGUGUGUGUGUGUGUGUGUGUGUGUGUAUAUACAGGUAACACAAUUUACAUGGACCUGCAGGAACUUGACAUAUCAAUCGUAAGUUAUAUGGGAAGGGUGAAGCUUGCCUUCACAGUGAAAAAAGGCAUCAUAGAUCCACAAAAGUUGAAGUUGUGCAUGGAAAACGCCCUCAAUAUGAUAUCCAACGCCGCAGACAAAAAUUCUAUGGAAAAUAGCACUGAAGAACAGUCACACAUUUGAAACUCUACCAAAACCGUAGAUCUAAAAAAUUCAUAGACGGCAGGACUCUUGCUCUAGCUUAAGGCUGGUGGCAGCCUUCUCCUCCUUCCCUUUACCUCCUCUUUCUUGUUCUUAUGGAUUGCUCAAAUUUGUUUCGUUUUAGUAUUUCGUCAAUAAGCGCCUCCUUAGUGAGGUUAUUUGUGAGUCUCUCCUAGUGAGUAUCUUAGUUUUAAGAUGAUGUGUUCUCGGCCCCUCUUGGGUCUACAACGUAUUUUUGGUAGCUUCGCUAAUGGUGUUGAGCAUAAAAUUCGAGUUAGUAUGGACACCAAUUGGUUUGUUGUCAAUUCCUUUUCGGAGUUGACGCUGCUUGUUGUCAAAGAGUGUCCUUAUGCUCGUUAUAUUGCAGUUUGGGCAAAACCACAUAAACACACUGUCAUAUUA
Molecule: long non-coding RNA, 18448 nt
Filed under: Malus domestica (apple)
Lineage: Eukaryota; Viridiplantae; Streptophyta; Magnoliopsida; Rosales; Rosaceae
Description: long non-coding RNA (MDOM_LNC017727)
Source: RNAcentral